This 384-nucleotide ribosomal RNA is filed under the name uncultured bacterium. Its description in RNAcentral is "bacterial SSU rRNA". It matches the Rfam family "Bacterial small subunit ribosomal RNA", at positions 28 to 408 of the family's 1533-position model. The record is from RNAcentral.
GAUUAACGCUAGCGGCAGGCCUAAUACAUGCAAGUUGUACGGGAUUAUUGGUAGCAAUACUGAUAUGAGAGUAGCGCACGGGUGCGUAACACGUAUGCAACCUACCUUUAACUGGGGAAUAGCUCACCGAAAGGUGAAUUAACACCGCAUAAAAUCACAGAAGGACAUCCUUUAAUGAUUAAAUCUCCGGAGGUUAAAGAUGGGCAUGCGUCCGAUUAGCUAGUUGGCGGGGAACAGCCCACCAAGGCAACGAUCGGUAGGGGGUCUGAGAGGAUGAUCCCCCACACUGGUACUGAGACACGGACCAGACUCCUACGGGAGGCAGCAGUAAGGAAUAUUGGACAAUGGGGGCGAACCCUGAUCCAGCCAUGCCGCCGUGAAGGA